UACAGAGGGUGCAAGCGUUAAUCGGAAUUACUGGGCGUAAAGCGUGCGUAGACGGUUAUGUAAGUCGGGUGUGAAAGCCCCGGGCUCAACCUGGGAAUUGCAUUCGAGACUGUGUAGCUAGGGUACGGAAGAGGGAAGCGGAAUUUCAGGUGUAGCGGUGAAAUGCGUAGAUAUCUGGAGGAAUACCGGUGGCGAAGGCGGCAUCCUGGACCGACAUUGACGCUGAGGAGCGAAAGCUAGGGGAGCAAACGGG
This 253-nucleotide ribosomal RNA is filed under the name uncultured bacterium. RNAcentral's name for it is "partial 16S ribosomal RNA". It matches the Rfam family "Bacterial small subunit ribosomal RNA", at positions 524 to 776 of the family's 1533-position model. The record is from RNAcentral.